UGGGCUGUAGCCAAGCGGUAAGGCACCAGACUUUGACUCUGGCACGCGGUGGUUCGAUCCCACCCAGCCCAGCCA
RNAcentral lists this transfer RNA (75 nucleotides) under [Mycoplasma] cavipharyngis. RNAcentral's name for it is "tRNA-Gln". It matches the Rfam family "tRNA". Rfam says of the family: Transfer RNA (tRNA) molecules are approximately 80 nucleotides in length. Their secondary structure includes four short double-helical elements and three loops (D, anti-codon, and T loops). Further hydrogen bonds mediate the characteristic L-shaped molecular structure. tRNAs have two regions of fundamental functional importance: the anti-codon, which is responsible for specific mRNA codon recognition, and the 3' end, to which the tRNAs corresponding amino acid is attached (by aminoacyl-tRNA synthetases). tRNAs cope with the degeneracy of the genetic code in two manners: having more than one tRNA (with a specific anti-codon) for a particular amino acid; and 'wobble' base-pairing, i.e. permitting non-standard base-pairing at the 3rd anti-codon position. Lineage: Bacteria; Bacillati; Mycoplasmatota; Mycoplasmoidales; Mycoplasmoidaceae. RNAcentral also lists the same sequence under 1 other name. The record is from RNAcentral.